UACGUAGGGUGCAAGCGUUAAUCGGAAUUACUGGGCGUAAAGCGUGCGCAGGCGGUUAUGCAAGUCAGGUGUGAAAUCCCCGGGCUUAACCUGGGAACUGCAUUUGUGACUGCAUAGCUAGAGUACGGUAGAGGGGGAUGGAAUUCCGCGUGUAGCAGUGAAAUGCGUAGAUAUGCGGAGGAACACCGAUGGCGAAGGCAAUCCCCUGGACCUGUACUGACGCUCAUGCACGAAAGCGUGGGGAGCAAACAGG
This 253-nucleotide ribosomal RNA is filed under the name uncultured bacterium. RNAcentral's name for it is "partial 16S ribosomal RNA". It matches the Rfam family "Bacterial small subunit ribosomal RNA", at positions 524 to 776 of the family's 1533-position model. The record is from RNAcentral.